UUACAAUUUGGAGAAGAAAUAAAUUCAGACAGUUAUCUGUCCUGGGACCUGCUGAUGCAAUGUCAAGUGAGCAUUUAGCACUGUUUGACAUAAAAAGAUUAUGUAUGAACUGAG
Long non-coding RNA from Etheostoma spectabile (orangethroat darter), 114 nucleotides. RefSeq lists it as uncharacterized. Lineage: Eukaryota; Metazoa; Chordata; Actinopteri; Perciformes; Percidae. The record is from RefSeq and is a predicted model, not a curated record. The transcript is spliced from 4 exons.